RNAcentral lists this ribosomal RNA (264 nucleotides) under uncultured bacterium. Its description in RNAcentral is "partial 16S ribosomal RNA". It matches the Rfam family "Bacterial small subunit ribosomal RNA", at positions 1104 to 1382 of the family's 1533-position model. The record is from RNAcentral.
CUCGCCAUAUGUUACAAGUGUCAUAUGGGACCGCCGGUAUCAAGCCGGAGGAAGGUGGGGAUGACGUCAAGUCAGCAUGGCCUUUAUAUCCGGGGCUACACACACGCUACAAUGGCCAGUACAAUUGGUUGCAAAGCCGCGAGGUGGAGCCAAUCCAUAAAGCUGGUCUCAGUUCAGAUUGCAGGCUGCAACCCGCCUGCAUGAAGUCGGAGUUGCUAGUAAACGCAGGACAGCUAUACUGCGUUGAAUACGUUCCCGGGCCUU